Molecule: ribosomal RNA, 481 nt
Filed under: uncultured bacterium
Lineage: Bacteria
Description: partial 16S ribosomal RNA
Rfam family: Bacterial small subunit ribosomal RNA
Source: RNAcentral
GAUGAACGCUGGCGGCGUGCCUAACACAUGCAAGUCGAACGGAGAUUACGGACGGAAGUUUUCGGAUGGAAGACUGUAAUUCUUAGUGGCGGACGGGUGAGUAACGCGUGGGCAACCUGCCCUAUACAGGGGGAUAGCAGCUGGAAACGGCUGGUAAGACCGCAUAAGUCGGUUAAAUCGCAUGAUUUGAUCGGGAAAUGAGCAAUCAGGUAUAGGAUGGGCCCGCGUCCGAUUAGCCAGUUGGCAGGGUAAAAGCCUACCAAAGCGACGAUCGGUAGCCGGACUGAGAGGUCGGACGGCCACAUUGGGACCGAGACACGGCCCAAACUCCUACGGGAGGCAGCAGUGGGGGAUAGUGCACAAUGGAGGAAACUCUGAUGCAGCGACGCCGCGUGAGUGAAGAAGUAUUUCGGUAUGUAAAGCUCUAUCAGCAGGGAAGAUGAUGACGGUACCUGACUAAGAAGCCCCGGCUAACUACGUG